RNAcentral lists this ribosomal RNA (497 nucleotides) under uncultured bacterium. RNAcentral's name for it is "partial 16S ribosomal RNA". It matches the Rfam family "Bacterial small subunit ribosomal RNA", at positions 28 to 507 of the family's 1533-position model. The record is from RNAcentral.
GAUGAACGCUGGCGGCGUGCCUAAUACAUGCCAGUCGAGCGAACAGAUGAGGAGCUUGCUCCUCUGACGUUAGCGGCGGACGGGUGAGUAACACGUGAAUAACCUACCUAUAAGACUGGGAUAACUUCGGGAAACCGGAGCUAAUACCGGAUAAUAUAUUGAACCGCAUGGUUCAAUAGUGAAAGACGGUUUUGCUGUCACUUAUAGAUGGAUCCGCGCCGCAUUAGCUAGUUGGUAAGGUAACGGCUUACCAAGGCAACGAUGCGUAGCCGACCUGAGAGGGUGAUCGGCCACACUGGAACUGAGACACGGUCCAGACUCCUACGGGAGGCAGCAGUAGGGAAUCUUCCGCAAUGGGCGAAAGCCUGACGGAGCAACGCCGCGUGAGUGAUGAAGGUCUUCGGAUCGUAAAACUCUGUUAUUAGGGAAGAACAAAUGUGUAAGUAACUAUGCACGUCUUGACGGUACCUAAUCAGAAAGCCACGGCUAACUACGUG